UAUCUGUGUCAGUGUAUAUGUGUGUGGCUGUGUAUAUCUGUGUGGAUGUCAGUGUAUAUGUGUGUGGCUGUGUAUAUCUGUGUCAGUGUAUAUGUGUGUGUCUGUGUAUAUCUGUGUGAGUGUCAGUGUAUAUGUGUGUGGCUGUGUAUAUCUGUGUCAGUGUAUAUGUGUGUGGCUGUGUAUAUCUGUGUGGAUGUCAGUGUAUAUGUGUGUGGCUGUGUAUAUCUGUGUCAGUGUAUAU
Molecule: non-coding RNA, 241 nt
Organism: Pelobates cultripes (western spadefoot toad)
Lineage: Eukaryota; Metazoa; Chordata; Amphibia; Anura; Pelobatidae
Source: the annotation of a GenBank genome assembly